CCCUUAGAUGUUCUGGGCUGCACGCGCGCUACACUGAUGCGCUCAACGAGUUUACGACCUUGCCCGGAAGGGUUGGGUAAUCUUUUUAAAACGCAUCGUGAUGGGGAUAGAUUAUUGCAAUUAUUAAUCUUUAACGAGGAAUUCCUAGUAAGCGCGAGUCAUCAGCUCGUGCUGAUUACGUCCCUGCCCUUUGUACACACCGCCCGUCGCUCCUACCGAUUGAGUGGUCCGGUGAGGCUUUGGGAUCUGAGCGAAAAGAGCGUUUCGCUGUUUCUGCUCGGAAAACUCAGUCGAACCUUAUCAUUUAGAGGAAGGAGAAGUCGUAACA
This 328-nucleotide ribosomal RNA is filed under the name uncultured eukaryote. RNAcentral describes it as "partial 18S ribosomal RNA". It matches the Rfam family "Eukaryotic small subunit ribosomal RNA", at positions 1470 to 1796 of the family's 1831-position model. The record is from RNAcentral.